GUUCAAUAAAUAUUUUAAUAUAUAAAUAGAAUAAAUAUGAAUAAAUAGCAAGAAGCUGAGUUUACAUGAUUAUAUGUAUUUCUUUUUUGGUCUGCUUGAAAGUGCAGGUAUUCUAAAAUACUUUUAUUGUGGUAUAGUCAUCUCCUAGGUGACGGGUUUGUUUUUUCACUCUCGAGACUCCACUUGAAUGAUAUUGAUUAGACGUUACUGAUAAUCCUCUUAAGAAAAUGAAUACUAACUUUAUCUAACUCUAAUCUAACUUUUUCUAAAUCUAUCUAUCAUAUUGAAUCAUUUUACCUUUCUUUAUAUCUAUUUUUCUACGGAUUGUUGAAGACCUGUGUUGUUUGAACCUCGAACUCCGGUGUGAUACAAUCUCCUCUGAAGGUCUCAGGAACUAAAGUGGAUCUAACGGUCAAGCAAGGGAAAAAUGUUACUCUCUACUGUGACUGCACCUGGACCUCUGGAUUAAAUCUUAACUGGUAUAGAAACUGCUCACAUUUUAGGCAGCCCUCAUUUGUGAUCUCAACCCAUGCGUUUAUGAAGGAGGCAGAUAAUCCAUCACCCUCCAGCUACCAAUCUAUAGGAGUUGUGGAUGUGUCCCCACCAAAGCUGAGACCAAACCUACGCCCUUGCCUACAAGUUGUCCUUUGAAGAUGCUGCUUCUUUCCCUGCACCUACCUGUCCUCCUCCCCCUGAUGGUGGUCAGCGCUGGUCAUCUUGUAUCCUGUGUGUACUCUACUCUCUGCCCUCAUCUUCUCCACCUGUGUGUACGGCCUCUGCUGUAAGACCGCACCUGUGGAACCUGGUGAGCAUCUGAAAAAGAGAGACACUCAAAGAAGAGAACAGGAUGAAUGCACAGGACAGUGUUGUGCUCCAUUGGAUAUAGCAACCAAAGUAUCCAAAAUAAAACAACAGAAGAAACGGCAUACAAAAUUGGACUUAAGUACCUACUCUGAGUGUGUUCCUACAGAAUGCAAAACUGCAUAGGCCUAAUGGGACUUUGACCACUGUGAUGCACUUAUAUGAGAGGCAAUGGCUAAAUCUUGAUGUCCCCCAUCUAAGCCCUGAACCCUCAAAGACGUAACUGACAUCUGUUGAUAAGUGAUUGAGUUUGAGAGACUGUAAGGGUUCAGACUGCUGAUAACAGGAAUGGGACAGCACCUGUGACAGUGACCUAUCGUAAAUUGACGAUACCAAAAAAUGUUUCUGUUUCUGUUUCCUUUUUAUGGCAGUUGUUUACUGAUGUUUUUUCAAGCUUCCAGCCUCCCUUUCAGUAACUCUGUGUUUCAUGUCACAAUGCUAUGAAUUGUCUGUUGCAUGUCUGUUAGUCUGUGAGGGUGGACUUUGAUAUUUACCGACUAUAUGAUCAGCUAUUACAGUAAGUUUAGUUAAGACAAGAUCAUAGUGUCCUUUUACAGUACACAGAAAUGUGUCUUACUUUACAGGUAUAACAGCAACAUCUACAAAAUCCAUUUCCAUUUUUUUUAAAUCUCUUUUGGAAAAUUCAUGUUUUUAUGUGAAAAAAGUAUGUCAGUGUUAAUGCCACCUUAAGUGAUUUGAUUUCUGUGAAGUAUGAAAGACCAGUAUCUUGUGUAUCACAGCAUAUAUCUGUUAGCUGUACUAAAGACAUGGAUACUGUCUGGCUCUUUCGUCCAGUUCUUUCUGGUAUACUGCAUUGCUUAGCAUUUCAAAAUAAAUAUUAAUGCUCUUUCUG
Alosa sapidissima (American shad) is the source of this 1714-nucleotide long non-coding RNA. RefSeq lists it as uncharacterized. The transcript has 7 exons. The record is from RefSeq and is a predicted model, not a curated record. NCBI's taxonomy places the organism in Eukaryota, Metazoa, Chordata, Actinopteri, Clupeiformes, Clupeidae.